RNAcentral lists this unclassified non-coding RNA (264 nucleotides) under Hevea brasiliensis (rubber tree). The record is from RNAcentral. Lineage: Eukaryota; Viridiplantae; Streptophyta; Magnoliopsida; Malpighiales; Euphorbiaceae.
GAAGAAGAAGAAGAAGAAGAAGAAGAAGCGAAACAAAGAUCAAAUUUUUUAUCAAAAAAUUUGAUUCAUCACCAUAACCAAUCACCACAUCUAUCUCUCUAUCAUAUCGCUGAUUAAAUUAGCUAAAAAUUUCGCUAAUUUAUACAUUUUUUAAGCCAAAUUAUUGAAGUGGUUGUACUGAUUUGCAGAGAGGCAAAGGUGGGAGGGUGGGAAUUUGACGGUGCUGUUUUAAGGAAUUAGGGGUUUUUAUCUAUUUAUUUAUUU